UACGUAGGUCCCGAGCGUUGUCCGGAUUUAUUGGGCGUAAAGCGAGCGCAGGUGGUUUAUUAAGUCUGGUGUAAAAGGCAGUGGCUCAACCAUUGUAUGCAUUGGAAACUGGUAGACUUGAGUGCAGGAGAGGAGAGUGGAAUUCCAUGUGUAGCGGUGAAAUGCGUAGAUAUUAGGAAGAACACCAGUGGCGAAGGCGGCUUGCUGGACAGUAACUGACGUUGAGGCUCGAAAGCGUGGGGAGCAAACAGG
This 252-nucleotide ribosomal RNA is filed under the name uncultured bacterium. RNAcentral's name for it is "partial 16S ribosomal RNA". It matches the Rfam family "Bacterial small subunit ribosomal RNA", at positions 524 to 776 of the family's 1533-position model. The record is from RNAcentral.